AGAAUCAACGCUGGCGGCGUGCCUCAGACAUGCAAGUCGAACGCGAAAGUCCCCUUCGGGGGACAAGUAGAGUGGCGCACGGGUGAGUAACACGUAGGUAAUCUACCUUCGGAUGGGGAAUAACAACCGGAAACGGUUGCUAAUACCGCAUAAUGCAGCGGCACCUAAUGGUGACAGUUGUUAAAAGCGGGGGAUCGAAAGACCUCGCGUCUGAAGAGGAGCCUGCGGCGGAUUAGCUAGUUGGUAGGUAACGCCUACCAAGGCGACGAUCCGUA
This 275-nucleotide ribosomal RNA is filed under the name uncultured soil bacterium. RNAcentral's name for it is "partial 16S ribosomal RNA". It matches the Rfam family "Bacterial small subunit ribosomal RNA", at positions 26 to 285 of the family's 1533-position model. The record is from RNAcentral.